CUCAGUCUUGUGCUAGGCGGGCUUCCUGCCUGGCCCCUUCUUCCCUGGGUGUUCUCCUUCUUCUGGAGAACUCACUCCCCAAGCGGAGAGCGUCAGCUGCCUCGUUCGUUGGCCAGGUGGGUUCGCCUGCCCAUGGGAGAGCUUCCAAAAUAGAGCUCCUUCUGGAAUGCUAGCCUUCAUAAUUGCUGUGGAGCAGGUGACAGACUUCUCCCAGGCAUCUGGAUCGCUAUCUCUUUCCCAUUCAGGCCUCAGCAAAAAUGUCACCUCCUCAGAGAAGCCCUCCAUGAUCACCUGUCUAAAGGGGUCUCUACCCCUGCUUGCAGUCUCAUCCACUGUCAGCCAUGUGACUGAGCCACUUCAGACACCCGGCUCAGGCCUCGAGAUGACCGUGGCUCUAGCUGAUGGCUCUAGCUGACUGUAAGGACAGGAGACUUCCACUGCGAACCACCCAGCAGAGCCUUGUCAGCUCACUGACCCGAGGGAGAAGUCCAGAGGCAGGCGUUCCAGGGCUGGUGUGCUGUCCCAGAGUAAUCAGAGACCCAGACUCCUUCUGCCUUCUUGCUCCACGAUUGUUAGUAGCUUUCAUCCCUAAGUUUGCCUCUGCUUCAAAAGGAUUGUUGGAGCUCCAGCCAUCACACCUGCAUUCCAGGCAAGGAAAAGAGGAAGAGAGAAGAGCAAAAACGUGCAUCCCAGCUUUCUAUUCUCCAAGAUAUUGUACCCAGUAACCUCUGCUCACAUUUCAUUGACCAGAAUUUCACUACUUGGGUGCAGGGGACUCUGGGAAAUGUGGUUUUUCGAGCUGGGUGCAUGGCCACCUGGACUUAAACAAGAGUUCUGUUUCUAAGGAAGAACAGGAGAAUGAAGUUUGGUGGGCACCUAGCAAUUUCUGCCUCACUUAGCGCAGCAGUCAAGGCCUUGAAUGAAUUUUCACACCAGCGAGCUCAUUCUGUUCCUUCUUCCUGCUCAGCAGGCAUGUCUUGCAGAUGGGUCAGCAGGGCAAGUCCAUUAUUUGGCCGUUAGGUUUGGCUGCCCUGACUGACAUGCACCUCCUGAACAAGCCCGAGCUUUCUGCCUUCCGGUGCAGCACUUCUGCUGCUUCCAAGGUAGCAUCUGGAAACCCACGUAAAGGGCAGAGCCGCUAAUGACUCUCACUCUGUUCCCCAGCGAGCAGAACAGUCUCCAUCCCACUGCCCUGGAACUGCCCACUGAGAAGACCCUGAGUUUGCACACGCUUGCCCGUGCAUACACACACCCCUCAAAGAAAGAAACCUCUUCUAGUGUUAGUACCUUCUCACCUGGAGCAGGAUACACAGGUAAGCGGCUUCCCAUCACAGGGGCCGAUCUCCGUAGGACCUGAGCCCAGAGGAGGGGUGCAGGUGGCCUGCUGUCCAAUCCCGGCAGGCCCCCACAGGCCCCUGCGUCACCCUGCCAGCUGCACAACCUCACAAAUCAAAUAUCACGUCUAAUUCUUAAAGCUGUUUUCAUGACAGCGGUUUUCCAUUUAAUCCCCAGAGCUAACAAUAUGUAAUCAGUUUUCCUUAACAAAUGACCUCCUUUAACUUCAUUAGUUCAUAAUUAAUUUGCCAGCCUGUAACCAAGAUAAUGAACACUGCAGAUUAGGGACAGGAAUACUGAUUAAAAUCUGAGCUGUUUCCCUAAUUUUCCUCGCAAUUUAAUUCAUUGGUGGUGGCUGGUGAUUGGUGGGUUUGGUUGAAAAAAUCCACGUGGA
Molecule: long non-coding RNA, 1729 nt
Organism: Mustela putorius furo (domestic ferret)
Lineage: Eukaryota; Metazoa; Chordata; Mammalia; Carnivora; Mustelidae
Source: Ensembl